AGGUCUUCGGAUCGUAAAACUCUGUUAUUAGGGAAGAACAAAUGUAGUAAGUAACUAUGCACGUCUUGACGGUACCUAAUCAGAAAGCCACGGCUAACUACGUGCCAGCAGCCGCGGUAAUACGUAGGUGGCAAGCGUUAUCCGGAAUUAUUGGGCGUAAAGCGCGCGUAGGCGGUUUUUUAAGUCUGAUGUGAAAGCCCACGGCUCAACCGUGGAGGGUCAUUGGAAACUGGAAAACUUGAGUGCAGAAGAGGAAAGUGG
RNAcentral lists this ribosomal RNA (261 nucleotides) under Staphylococcus epidermidis. RNAcentral's name for it is "partial 16S ribosomal RNA". It matches the Rfam family "Bacterial small subunit ribosomal RNA", at positions 412 to 664 of the family's 1533-position model. The record is from RNAcentral. Lineage: Bacteria; Bacillati; Bacillota; Bacilli; Caryophanales; Staphylococcaceae.